RNAcentral lists this ribosomal RNA (347 nucleotides) under uncultured bacterium. RNAcentral describes it as "bacterial SSU rRNA". It matches the Rfam family "Bacterial small subunit ribosomal RNA", at positions 917 to 1267 of the family's 1533-position model. The record is from RNAcentral.
GGGCCCGCACAAGCGGUGGAGCAUGUGGUUUAAUUCGAUGAUACGCGAGGAACCUUACCAGGGCUUAAAUGUAAGUUGCAUAGAUCAGAGAUGGUCUUUUCUUCGGACUACUUACAAGGUGCUGCAUGGUUGUCGUCAGCUCGUGCCGUGAGGUGUCAGGUUAAGUCCUAUAACGAGCGCAACCCCUGUCGUUAGUUACCAGCAAGUAAUGUUGGGUACUCUAGCGAGACUGCCGGUGCAAACCGUGAGGAAGGUGGGGAUGACGUCAAAUCAUCACGGCCCUUACGUCCUGGCUGCACACGUGCUACAAUGGUCGGUACAAUGGGCUGCCACCUCGCGAGGACAAG